Capsicum annuum is the source of this 2742-nucleotide long non-coding RNA. RefSeq lists it as uncharacterized. The record is from RefSeq and is a predicted model, not a curated record. The transcript is spliced from 2 exons. NCBI's taxonomy places the organism in Eukaryota, Viridiplantae, Streptophyta, Magnoliopsida, Solanales, Solanaceae.
CUCUCAAAUAAAACCCUAAUUUUGCUUUCUCCGCUACUUUAAUUUAUCCCUAAUAUGCCUUGUUUGUUUGAUUUGUUUUCUUCGUUGUUUUCUUCAUUUUUAUUUGGUUUUAAAUAUGCCCAAUGAUGGAAAAUCUAUGUAUAUUGAGCCGCUGUGAUGGUUGUUGAUUCAUCAGUUGUCUUUGUGCAUCACCUGAGUAUCAGCGGCACCUGCUAUUUUUUCUCCCCUUCCUUACCUCCCUCAGCAUUGCACUUUGCCGCUGCUGUUUAUGGUGAUGUAUGAAAGACUUCUAAUGAGUUGCAUCACUUCAAGUCGUCUGUGAUUUUUAAGCUAUGAGAUCUGAGGGCUUUUCUACUUUUUCUCUCAAAUUUGAAUUUGCUUACUGUUUAAUAUUUUUUGCUUGGAAUCUCUCAAUUAAUUUCACCUUUUCCUAACCUGGUUUAUCAACAAUUUGGUUUGCUUGUUGGUUUUGGAUCUGUUAUUUCUCAGAAAACAAAAGCGAUAAAACUAUAGUAGAAAAGGGCCAAGCGAUAAAACGAUAGUAGAAAAGGGCCAUGUUAGAAUUUACUAGCCAAAUCAUCAUUAUAUAUGUUGCUUAUUCCAAACCUAGUAUACCUUUAGCCAUGAAAGCUUAAUUAUUAUGACCAUGUUGAAAGUGAAAGUGUAAAAUGGAAGGGGAUUGAUUGGUUGCUUUGGUUAUUUUAAAAGGGUUUUCUUGUUAGUUCAUUUAUGGAUGGAUUAGGUCUAAAAAUUCAUGUGAAUCGUACGAGGAAAUUUUGUUUUUUCAAAAAUAAUUUUCACUAAAUGAAAUGUUUUUUGUCAACUAUUAUUAUUAUAAUUUUUUUAUUAAAAUGAAAUAAAUUUUGAAGAAAAUAAAAAAUUUCUCAUGCUCAAAUCAUACUAAAUUUUAAGAUUAUUUAUGUCUAUUGAAUCUUUUUAUUUGUUUGAAUUUGUGAAGCGAAUAUUUCUACUAAAUUUUGUCAUUUGAAUUUUUCUAAUCCAUCAAAAACAUAAUAUUUUAAAUACUUCGAAAAUAAUUCUAACACCCUUUAUCUUCUCCCACCCCACCCAACCCUGGAUUCUUCUCCAACCCCGCCCUUCCUUCUAUCGCCAUUUUCACAAUUAAUUUUUUUUCUUUAGAUAGCAAUUACAAAAUAAAAAAGAAAUUACAAAAAAUUAGUAACUCAAUUAAAUUCGAUCCAUAUCUAUAUACAAAAAUUUUUAAAAUAACAUUUCAACUAUUUCAAAAUGACAGGUGUUGUCAGAAAAAAUGAUGGUUAUUACCUUGACAUUUUAAAUCUUUGUGUACGUGAAUUUAUAAUUGAAAAUUUAAAUUAAUUUAUUGUUCUAAUUGUCGUCUUAGGGUGUUUGUGUAUGUGAAUUUAUAAUUGAAAAUUUAGAUUAAUUUAUUGUUCUAAUUGUCGUCUUAGGGAGUUUGUGGUGGUGGAAAGCCGUAGGUAGGUUCUGGUUUGUGGGGUGGAGAUGGUGGUUGUGGGUUGGAGGACGGCCGGGUGGGCGUUUGGGUAAAUUUGGUUCAGUAUUUUUAAAGUUCCGAUUCGAUAACUUGAUAAUGGGUAUUUGAGAGUAGAUACUGCAUAUCAUAUUUGUAAACAUCGAUUUGGUGAUUUAAUCGGUAAAUUAAAUCUUGGUAUGGUAUUUGAUUAAAUAAUAUUAAAAUUUUGUAAACAUCGAUUUGGUGAUUUAAUCGGUAAAUUAAAUCUUGGUAUGGUAUUUGAUAAAAUAAUAUUAAAAUUGAAGAUGUACAAAUUACAUUUAAACUUUAAAGAGUAUAUUCAAUAGAAAUCCUAGUUAUAUUCUUUUUUAUACUUUUUAUGAAUAUAUUAUCAAGGUUCAAGAGAUUAUUGACUAAUAUAUAUAUAUAUAUAAUAAUUUGAUGUUCGAUAAAUGUCGAAUACCAAAUGGUAUUAAUAUGUUGUAUCAAACUCAAUCUCAAAUAUUGAAAUGUUUAAAGUUUAUUCUCAAAUAUCAUAUUAAAUACUGAAUAUUAAUUAUCAAAUUUUUUGAUUUGAUUCAGUAAUUCAAUUUUUGGUAUGUUAUAUCCAGCCCUAAGGACUGGGAGUGCGUUGGAAAAACCUCUUUCGAUACCAAAAGCGGUAGUGAAAGGGUCUAUGGAGGAGGAGCCACUAGUGUUGGUCAAAGCAGAUCUGUUUGUAGGAGAGACAUAAAUAGUGUGAAGGAAGAUGGCGAUGGCGGCGACAACCGUAGGAAGAGAGGAGAUGGAGGAAGCUCUUUGUUAUGCUCUUGUGUUGCCCAUAUCGAUUGAAUUGGAAGUUGAUUUGGCUCUUUAGUGGACUCUCUCAACUUAAUAACUAGCUUUUGGGAUGCGAGUUAGGCCAAGAUUGUUACAUGGUAUCAGAGCCAAUCAUUCGACGCAUGAAGCCAAGACUUGGAGUGGUGGUUUGCGUACCAAGAGUGGUAGCUUGGACUCGAGGAGGGUGUCAAUUUUGACCAAAGAGGUCAUUAGUACUAUACAAGGAACCAUUGUUGUCCCACAUUGGUUGUUGCGCGUAAAAUAAACUAGGACUUUCUCAUCUUAAUAGCUAGUUUUUGUGGUGUUGUUACACUCUUAUUUUGCCAUUUUCUAUGUCAUUAUGCAUGCAAGUUUAUGGUUUUUUGGGUUAAUGUCAUAAUUAUUUAAGGUUGCAAUUUUAAGAUUUCAUUCCUUUGAUUAUGUUUGUUCUAAAAUUGAAAUGAAAAUAGUUACUUCUUUGAAUUUCAAAA